RNAcentral lists this transfer RNA (67 nucleotides) under bovine gut metagenome. It matches the Rfam family "tRNA". From Rfam's summary of the family: Transfer RNA (tRNA) molecules are approximately 80 nucleotides in length. Their secondary structure includes four short double-helical elements and three loops (D, anti-codon, and T loops). The record is from RNAcentral.
CCUAUAGUUCAAUGGAUAGAGCGUCGGCCUCCGAAGCUGGAGAUGUCGGUUCGACUCCGACUAGGCG